GAUGAACGCUGGCGGCGUGCCUAAUACAUGCAAGUCGAGCGAACAGACGAGGAGCUUGCUCCUUUGACGUUAGCGGCGGACGGGUUAGUAACACGUAGGUAACCUACCUAUAAGACUGGGAUAACUUCGGGAAAACGGAGCUAAUACCGGAUAAUAUUUCGAACCGCAUGGUUCGAUAGUGAAAGAUGGCUUUGCUAUCACUUAUAGAUGGACCUGCGCCGUAUUAGCUAGUUGGUAAGGUAACGGCUUACCAAGGCAACGAUACGUAGCCGACCUGAGAGGGUGAUCCGCCACACUGGAACUGAGACACGGUCCAGACUCCUACGGGAGGCAGCAGUAGGGAAUCUUCCGCAAUGGGGGAAAGCCUGACGGAGCAACGCCGCGUGAGUGAUGAAGGUCUUCGGAUCGUAAAACUCUGUUAUUAGGGAAGAACAAACGUGUAAGUAACUGUGCACGUCUUGACGGUACCUAAUCAGAAAGCCACAGCUAACUACGUG
RNAcentral lists this ribosomal RNA (497 nucleotides) under uncultured bacterium. RNAcentral's name for it is "partial 16S ribosomal RNA". It matches the Rfam family "Bacterial small subunit ribosomal RNA", at positions 28 to 507 of the family's 1533-position model. The record is from RNAcentral.